GGGGAUAACAGUCAGAAAUGACUGCUAAUACCGCAUAAGCGCACAGGACCGCAUGAUCCAGUGUGAAAAACUCCGGUGGUACAAGAUGGACCCGCGUUGGAUUAGCCAGUUGGCAGGGUAACGGCUUACCAAAGCGACGAUCCAUAGCCGGCCUGAGAGAGUGGACGGCCACAUUGGGACUGAGACACGGCCCAGACUCCUACGGGAGGCAGCAGUGGGGAAUAUUGCACAAUGGGGGAAACCCUGAUGCAGCGACGCCGCGUGAAGGAAGAAGUAUCUCGGUAUGUAAAGUUCUAUCAGCAGGGAAGAAAAUGACGGUACCUGACUAAGAAGCCCCGGCUAACUACGUGCCAGCAGCCGCGGUAAUACGUGGGGGGCAAGCGUUAUCCGGAUUUACUGGGUGUAAAGGGAGCGUAGACGGUAGCAGCAAGUCUGAUGUGAAAACCGGGGGCUCAACUCCCCGGACUGCAUUGGAAACUGUCGAUCUUGAGUACCGGAGAGGUAAGCGGAAUUCCUAGUGUAGCGGUGAAAUGCGUAGAUAUUAGGAGGAACACCAGUGGCGAAGGCGGCUUACUGGACUGUAACUGACGUUGAGGCUCGAAAGCGUGGGG
Molecule: ribosomal RNA, 611 nt
Filed under: uncultured Lachnospiraceae bacterium
Lineage: Bacteria; Bacillati; Bacillota; Clostridia; Lachnospirales; Lachnospiraceae
Description: bacterial SSU rRNA
Rfam family: Bacterial small subunit ribosomal RNA
Source: RNAcentral